This 877-nucleotide ribosomal RNA is filed under the name Haliotrematoides spinatus. RNAcentral describes it as "LSU rRNA". It matches the Rfam family "Eukaryotic large subunit ribosomal RNA", at positions 1 to 678 of the family's 3401-position model. The record is from RNAcentral. Lineage: Eukaryota; Metazoa; Platyhelminthes; Monogenea; Dactylogyridea; Ancyrocephalidae.
UUUUACCUUUUUUUAUCACCCCGGGAGAAAUACAUUCAGUAAGCGGAGGAAAAGAAACUAACCAGGAUUCCUCUAGUAACGGCGAGUGAACGGGGAUUAGCCCAUCACCGAAGCCCGUGUGCUUUUGCAUGCAGGGCAAUGUGGUGUUAAGGCUUGUACCUGGGACUGUGAACCCACCAAAAGUCCAGCUCCGAUUCUGGCUUAUUGUACUCCAAAGCGGGUGAAAGGCCCGUGAUGGUGGGUUAUGUACUAUAUCGCAGUCCUCAGAUGUGCAUGCCUUCGAGUCGGAUUGCUUGAGAAUGCAGUCCAAAGUGGGUGGUAAACUCCAUCCAAGGCUAAAUACUGGCAUGAGUCCGAUAGUAGACAAGUACCGUGAGGGAAAGUUGAAAAGUACUCUGAAGAGAGAGUAAAUAGUACGUGAAGCCGAUUGCAGGGAAGCUGGUGGAGUCAAGCUUCAUGCUUGAGGAAUUGUUGUCAUGAGUUUAUUGUGGUUGCGCAUCUGGUCAGUCAGCUUGGAAUAAGUUGGGCACAUUCGUGUGUUUCAAGUCAUUCCGGGUAGUGUGUUUGAAGCUGGUCAUGAUGUGUUGCUCAUGGUGAUCUAUUCCUCGUGGCAUAAAUCACAGUCGAUAUUGUUGUGCCCGAUGAUUGUCUAACUGUGCUUCGGCAGGCCUAGUGUUUGCCCGGUGCAGAAUGGAAGCUAUGGCUGUUGGCCUUUGGUCAAUGUGUCUUGUAAUAUAAAGCCGACUUUCAUUUGUGGUGUCUUCCAAUAUCGUGAUUGCUUGGUGUCUCGUCUACGGACCUGGCAUUAGUUAGAACUGUGAUUCUGAGGUAGACGUUCCACCCGACCCGCUAAAAACGGGGGCACACAAAAGCCUAA